CUGUCUUCUGUUCCUAUAGCCUAUGUGACAUCAGGAACUGUUUUGUUCCAGAAGCCCUUGCAGCUGGACACAGUGAAGGACUGUCCUUGUUAGUGGUCUGUCAGGCAUCUGGAUGGGGCAUAGACCUGUCAGCAGUGGAGCUGUGCUGCAGCUUGCUCAUCAGCAGGCACCUCACCAUGUCACAGUGAAUCCAGGCACUGCACAGAACCUCCUGCAUAGCUCAGGAUCCCAGCCCACAGCACGGUGCUCUUGGCCUCAUCAGAUUUCAACACAGCAAUGAUAUCUUUUUUCUUCUUCCAGAACUUUUCUUCCUGGUUUUGAGACACUUGAAAGAGAGCAUCUCCCAGUGGCAAAGAUAAGAGCCCACGUCCUUCCUGCAUCCUGUGGCUGUGCAUUCUCAGCCACAAGAGUCAGCAAGUCCCCUUCCAGAGGGAAGCGAUUUGGACAAUAACAUCUCAGACUGAUGCUGCUAAUCUGGCCUUACCCAAGGGAAGUGGGUGAGGUCAGAAGACGGGGAAGGACUUGACUGCUGUCACGAGGAUGGUGAAAUUGAUGCAUCAAAUAGAGCUGAAUGCUGCUGUAAAGGUUGAAUGACCAGUGUGUAAAUCCAAGACUUCUCCAAAGGAAGAGAAGAGAAGAAAUAGUAAGAGAGAUGGACUCACUGGUCAGUGGACCAAAGAUCUUUGAAUGAUGUCGAUGUUGAACAGGAUUUACUUUGACACCUACUGUUCAUUAUGGCUUAUUUCCACUCCUUUCAGUGUUGAUGACAUUGUGUUGUGUAAACAACUGGAGUUGUUAUCCUGAAAUAAUAAUUUCUGUAUGUGACCCUGAGAAUGUUACAUCUCCAUAUCAGAUCAGACACUCAUUGUGAUUGUGUGAUAUGUCCAUCCCACCAUCAGUGCUCUCCUAUGCCUGGAGAUGACGUUCUGACUUUGCACAUCUGCUGCUGAUUGUUCAUUCAUACAUGAAUCCCAAGGAAGCAGAACGGUAAAAUAGUGACCAAGCAUAUGUUUAACUUCCAUUUUGGAGUCUUGGCUUUCUGGGAUUGAAAUCUUGAGAUAAAACACGUGGGUUUCUAUUGUGUCUCUAGGGAUGCAAAGUUAUAGUCCUGUAGAAUACGUAUUGUGUAUAAUGCAAAGUUGUUAUUUCUCCAUUAGUGAGGCUGGUGCUGGAGUUGGCUGUUAGCGUGUCAUUCUUCUGACACAUCAUUAAUAAACAGGUAAUUU
Molecule: non-coding RNA, 1226 nt
Organism: Phasianus colchicus (ring-necked pheasant)
Lineage: Eukaryota; Metazoa; Chordata; Aves; Galliformes; Phasianidae
Source: RefSeq, a predicted model, not a curated record